This 924-nucleotide ribosomal RNA is filed under the name uncultured archaeon. RNAcentral's name for it is "bacterial SSU rRNA". It matches the Rfam family "Archaeal small subunit ribosomal RNA", at positions 1 to 922 of the family's 1478-position model. The record is from RNAcentral.
UUCCGGUUGAUCCUGCCGGAGGCCACUGCUAUGGGGGUCCGACUAAGCCAUGCGAGUCAUGGGGUCCCUUCGGGGACACCGGCGGACGGCUCAGUAACACGUCGGUAACCUACCCUCGGGAGGGGGAUAACCCCGGGAAACUGGGGCUAAUCCCCCAUAGGCCUGGGGUACUGGAAGGUCCCCAGGCCAAAAGGGGCUCUGCCCGCCCGAGGAUGGGCCGGCGGCCGAUUAGGUAGUUGGUGGGGUAACGGCCCACCAAGCCGAAGAUCGGUACGGGCCAUGAGAGUGGGAGCCCGGAGAUGGACACUGAGACACGGGUCCAGGCCCUACGGGGCGCAGCAGGCGCGAAACCUCCGCAAUGCGGGCAACCGCGACGGGGGGACCCCCAGUGCCGUGGCAAAGCCACGGCUUUUCCGGAGUGUAAAAAGCUCCGGGAAUAAGGGCUGGGCAAGGCCGGUGGCAGCCGCCGCGGUAAUACCGGCGGCCCAAGUGGUGGCCGCUAUUAUUGGGCCUAAAGCGUCCGUAGCCGGGCCCGUAAGUCCCUGGCGAAAUCCCACGGCUCAACCGUGGGGCUUGCUGGGGAUACUGCGGGCCUUGGGACCGGGAGAGGCGGGGGGUACCCCUGGGGUAGGGGUGAAAUCCUAUAAUCCCAGGGGGACCGCCAGUGGCGAAGGCGCCCCGCUGGAACGGGUCCGACGGUGAGGGACGAAGGCCAGGGGAGCGAACCGGAUUAGAUACCCGGGUAGUCCUGGCUGUAAAGGAUGCGGGCUAGGUGUCGGGCGAGCUUCGAGCUCGCCCGGUGCCGGAGGGAAGCCGUUAAGCCCGCCGCCUGGGGAGUACGGCCGCAAGGCUGAAACUUAAAGGAAUUGGCGGGGGAGCACUACAAGGGGUGGAGCGUGCGGUUUAAUUGGAAUCAACGCCGGA